This 467-nucleotide ribosomal RNA is filed under the name uncultured bacterium. RNAcentral describes it as "partial 16S ribosomal RNA". It matches the Rfam family "Bacterial small subunit ribosomal RNA", at positions 28 to 506 of the family's 1533-position model. The record is from RNAcentral.
GACGAACGCUGGCGGCGUGCUUAACACAUGCAAGUCGAACGGAAAGGCCCUGCUUUUGUGGGGUGCUCGAGUGGCGAACGGGUGAGUAACACGUGAGUAACCUGCCCUUGACUUUGGGAUAACUUCAGGAAACUGGGGCUAAUACCGGAUAGGAGCUCCUGCUGCAUGGUGGGGGUUGGAAAGUUUCGGCGGUUGGGGAUGGACUCGCGGCUUAUCAGCUUGUUGGUGGGGUAGUGGCUUACCAAGGCUUUGACGGGUAGCCGGCCUGAGAGGGUGACCGGCCACAUUGGGACUGAGAUACGGCCCAGACUCCUACGGGAGGCAGUAGUGGGGAAUAUGGCACAAGGGGCGGAAGCCUGAUGCAGCAACGCCGCGUGCGGGAUGACGGCCUUCGGGUGGUAAACCGCUUUCGCCUGUGACGAAGCGUGAGGGACGGGAAUGGGGAAAGAAGCACCGGCGAACUACGG